GCUGGCGGCGUGCCUAUUACAUGCAAGUCGAGCGGACAGAUGGGAGCUUGCUCCCUGAAGUCAGCGGCGGACGGGUGAGUAACACGUGGGCAACCUGCCUGUAAGACUGGGAUAACUCCGGGAAACCGGGGCUAAUACCGGAUAAUUCUUUCCCUCACAUGAGGGAAAGCUGAAAGAUGGUUUCGGCUAUCACUUACAGAUGGGCCCGCGGCGCAUUAGCUAGUUGGUGAGGUAACGGCUCACCAAGGCAACGAUGCGUAGCCGACCUGAGAGGGUGAUCGGCCACACUGGGACUGAGACACGGCCCAGACUCCUACGGGAGGCAGCAGUAGGGAAUCUUCCGCAAUGGACGAAAGUCUGACGGAGCAACGCCGCGUGAGUGAUGAAGGUUUUCGGAUCGUAAAACUCUGUUGUUAGGGAAGAACAAGUACCGGAGUAACUGCCGGUACCUUGACGGUACCUAACCAGAAAGCC
This 474-nucleotide ribosomal RNA is filed under the name Bacillus sp. SK256-S9. Its description in RNAcentral is "bacterial SSU rRNA". It matches the Rfam family "Bacterial small subunit ribosomal RNA", at positions 35 to 492 of the family's 1533-position model. The record is from RNAcentral. Lineage: Bacteria; Bacillati; Bacillota; Bacilli; Caryophanales; Bacillaceae.